Molecule: non-coding RNA, 72 nt
Organism: Phrynosoma platyrhinos (Desert horned lizard)
Lineage: Eukaryota; Metazoa; Chordata; Lepidosauria; Squamata; Phrynosomatidae
Source: the annotation of a GenBank genome assembly
UACAGAGGGCUGUAGUGGUUUGAGCGUUAGACUACAACUCUGGAGACCAGGGUUCGAACCCCAGCUCAGCCA